GCUUGCUGGGGGGAUUAGUGGCGAACGGGUGAGUAACACGUGAGUAACCUGCCCUUGACUCUGGGAUAAGCCUGGGAAACUGGGUCUAAUACCGGAUAUGACUCCUCAUCGCAUGGUGGGGGGUGGAAAGCUUUUGUGGUUUUGGAUGGACUCGCGGCCUAUCAGCUUGUUGGUGGGGUAAUGGCCUACCAAGGCGACGACGGGUAGCCGGCCUGAGAGGGUGACCGGCCACACUGGGACUGAGACACGGCCCAGACUCCUACGGGAGGCAGCAGUGGGGAAUAUUGCACAAUGGGCGAAAGCCUGAUGCAGCGACGCCGCGUGAGGGAUGACGGCCUUCGGGUUGUAAACCUCUUUCAGUAGGGAAGAAGCCGCGAGGUGACGGUACCUGCAGAAGAAGCGCCGGCUAACUACGUGCCAGCAGCCGCGGUAAUACGUAGGGCGCAAGCGUUAUCCGGAAUUAUUGGGCGUAAAGAGCUCGUAGGCGGUUUGUCGCGUCUGCUGUGAAAGACCGGGGCUCAACUCCGGUUCUGCAGUGGGUACGGGCAGACUAGAGUGCAGUAGGGGAGACUGGAAUUCCUGGUGUACGGUGAAAUGCCA
Molecule: ribosomal RNA, 600 nt
Filed under: Arthrobacter sp. CS14
Lineage: Bacteria; Bacillati; Actinomycetota; Actinomycetes; Micrococcales; Micrococcaceae
Description: bacterial SSU rRNA
Rfam family: Bacterial small subunit ribosomal RNA
Source: RNAcentral